RNAcentral lists this ribosomal RNA (440 nucleotides) under uncultured bacterium. RNAcentral's name for it is "partial 16S ribosomal RNA". It matches the Rfam family "Bacterial small subunit ribosomal RNA", at positions 338 to 795 of the family's 1533-position model. The record is from RNAcentral.
CCUACGGGUGGCAGCAGUGGGGAAUAUUGCACAAUGGGCGAAACCCUGAUGCAGCGACGCCGCGUGAGUGAUGAAGUAUUUCGGUAUGUAAAGCUCUAUCAGCAGGGAAGUAAAUGACGGUACCUGACUAAGUAUCCCCGGCUAACUACGUGCCAGCAGCCGCGGUAAUACGUAGGGGGCAAGCGUUAUCCGGAUUUACUGGGUGUAAAGGGCGCGUAGGCGGCUAAUCAAGUCAGAGGUGAAAACCCAGGGCUCAACCUUAGGAGUGCUUUUGAAACUGUGUAGCUGGAGUGUAGGAGAGGCAGGCGGAAUGCGUGGUGUAGCGGUGAAAUGCGUAGAUAUUAGGAGGAACCCCAGUGGCGAAGGCGGCUUACUGGGCUGUGACUGACGUUGAGGCUCGAAAGCGUGGGGAGCAAACAGGAUUAGAUACCCGAGUAGUC